This 479-nucleotide ribosomal RNA is filed under the name uncultured bacterium. Its description in RNAcentral is "bacterial SSU rRNA". It matches the Rfam family "Bacterial small subunit ribosomal RNA", at positions 903 to 1397 of the family's 1533-position model. The record is from RNAcentral.
AAAUGAAUAGACGGGGGCCCGCACAAGCGGCGGAGCGUGCGGUUUAAUUCGACGCAACGCGCAAAACCUUACCGAGGCUUGACAUGUGGCUGCAGACCGGGGAAACCCGGGGGCCUUCGAGGGUGCCACACAGGUGCUGCAUGGCUGUCGUCAGCUCGUGCCGUGAGGUGUUGGGUUAAGUCCCGCAACGAGCGCAACCCCCGCGUCUAGUUGAAUUGAUCUAGACGGACUGCCGGCCGCAAACCGGAGGAAGGUGGGGAUGAUGUCAAGUCAGCAUGGCCCUUACGCCUCGGGCCACACGCACGCUACAAUGGCCGGGACAAUGGGUAGCCAAGCCGCGAGGCGGAGCGAAUCCCCCAAACCCGGUCUCAGUUCGGAUCGCGGGCUGCAACUCGCCCGCGUGAAGUCGGAGUCGCUAGUAACCGCAGGUCAGCACUACUGCGGUGAAUAUGUUCCCGGGCCUUGUACACACCGCCCGU